RNAcentral lists this ribosomal RNA (2911 nucleotides) under Enterococcus faecium. RNAcentral describes it as "23S ribosomal RNA". It matches the Rfam family "Bacterial large subunit ribosomal RNA". The record is from RNAcentral. Lineage: Bacteria; Bacillati; Bacillota; Bacilli; Lactobacillales; Enterococcaceae.
UUAAGUGAAUAAGGGCGCACGGUGGAUGCCUUGGCACUAGGAGCCGAUGAAGGACGGGACUAACACCGAUAUGCUUUGGGGAGCUGUACGUAAGCUAUGAUCCAGAGAUUUCCGAAUGGGGGAACCCAACAUCUUUAAUAGGAUGUUACGAUUGUGUGAAUACAUAGCACAUUCGAGGUAGACGCAGAGAACUGAAACAUCUAAGUACCUGCAGGAAGAGAAAGAAAAUUCGAUUCCCUGAGUAGCGGCGAGCGAAACGGGAAAAGCCCAAACCAGCAAGCUUGCUUGUUGGGGUUGUAGGACUCCAAUAUGGUAGUUCUUUCAGAUAGUCGAAUGACUUGGAAAAGUCAGUCAAAGAGGGUAAAAACCCCGUAGACGAAAUGUGGAAGACACCUAGGAGGAUCCUGAGUACGGCGGAACACGAGAAAUUCCGUCGGAAUCCGGGAGGACCAUCUCCCAAGGCUAAAUACUCCCUAGUGACCGAUAGUGAACCAGUACCGUGAGGGAAAGGUGAAAAGCACCCCGGAAGGGGAGUGAAAUAGAACCUGAAACCGUGUGCCUACAACAAGUCAAAGCCCGUUAAUGGGUGAUGGCGUGCCUUUUGUAGAAUGAACCGGCGAGUUACGAUUGCAUGCGAGGUUAAGUUGAAGAGACGGAGCCGCAGCGAAAGCGAGUCUGAAUAGGGCGUUUGAGUAUGUAGUCGUAGACCCGAAACCAUGUGAUCUACCCAUGUCCAGGUUGAAGGUGCGGUAAAACGCACUGGAGGACCGAACCCACGUACGUUGAAAAGUGCGGGGAUGAGGUGUGGGUAGCGGAGAAAUUCCAAACGAACUUGGAGAUAGCUGGUUCUCUCCGAAAUAGCUUUAGGGCUAGCCUCGGAAUUGAGAAUGAUGGAGGUAGAGCACUGUUUGGACUAGGGGCCCAUCUCGGGUUACCGAAUUCAGAUAAACUCCGAAUGCCAUUCAUUCAUAUCCGGGAGUCAGACUGUGAGUGAUAAGAUCCAUAGUCGAAAGGGAAACAGCCCAGACCACCAGCUAAGGUCCCAAAAUAUAUGUUAAGUGGAAAAGGAUGUGGGGUUGCACAGACAACUAGGAUGUUGGCUUAGAAGCAGCCACCAUUUAAAGAGUGCGUAAUAGCUCACUAGUCGAGUGACCCUGCGCCGAAAAUGUACCGGGGCUAAACAUAUUACCGAAGCUGUGGAGUACACCUUUAGGUGUAUUGGUAGGAGAGCGUUCUAAGGGCGUUGAAGGCAGAUCGUGAGGACUGCUGGAGCGCUUAGAAGUGAGAAUGCCGGUAUGAGUAGCGAAAGACAGGUGAGAAUCCUGUCCACCGAAUGACUAAGGUUUCCUGGGGAAGGCUCGUCCGCCCAGGGUUAGUCGGGACCUAAGCCGAGGCCGACAGGCGUAGGCGAUGGAUAACAGGUUGAUAUUCCUGUACCCGUUGUUUUUGUUUGAGCAAUGGAGGGACGCAGGAGGCUAAGGAAUGCAGACGAUCGGAAAUGUCUGUCCAAGCAGUAAGUCUGAAGAGGAGUCAAAUGCUUCUUUUCUUAAGGACAAGCUGUGAUGGGGAGGGAAAUAAUAGUACCGAAGUUCCUGAUGUCACACUGCCGAGAAAAGCUUCUAGUGAGAAAACAGCGGCCCGUACCGCAAACCGACACAGGUAGUCGAGGAGAGAAUCCUAAGGUGAGCGAGAGAACUCUCGUUAAGGAACUCGGCAAAAUGACCCCGUAACUUCGGGAGAAGGGGUGCUGAUCAUACGAUCAGCCGCAGUGAAUAGGCCCAAGCGACUGUUUAUCAAAAACACAGGUCUCUGCAAAAUCGUAAGAUGAAGUAUAGGGGCUGACGCCUGCCCGGUGCUGGAAGGUUAAGAGGAGUGCUUAGCGCAAGCGAAGGUACGAAUUGAAGCCCCAGUAAACGGCGGCCGUAACUAUAACGGUCCUAAGGUAGCGAAAUUCCUUGUCGGGUAAGUUCCGACCCGCACGAAAGGCGUAACGAUUUGGGCACUGUCUCAACGAGAGACUCGGUGAAAUUUUAGUACCUGUGAAGAUGCAGGUUACCCGCGACAGGACGGAAAGACCCCAUGGAGCUUUACUGUAGUUUGAUAUUGAGUGUCUGUACCGCAUGUACAGGAUAGGUAGGAGCCGUAGAAAUCGGAACGCUAGUUUCGAUGGAGGCGCUGGUGGGAUACUACCCCUGCGUUAUGGCCACUCUAACCCGCACCACUAAUCGUGGUGGGAGACAGUGUCAGAUGGGCAGUUUGACUGGGGCGGUCGCCUCCUAAAAGGUAACGGAGGCGCCCAAAGGUUCCCUCAGAAUGGUUGGAAAUCAUUCGAAGAGUGUAAAGGCAGAAGGGAGCUUGACUGCGAGACCAACAAGUCGAGCAGGGACGAAAGUCGGGCUUAGUGAUCCGGUGGUUCCGCAUGGAAGGGCCAUCGCUCAACGGAUAAAAGCUACCCUGGGGAUAACAGCGUAACGAUUUGGGCACUGUCUCAUCGACGGGGAGGUUUGGCACCUCGAUGUCGGCUCGUCGCAUCCUGGGGCUGUAGUCGGUCCCAAGGGUUGGGCUGUUCGCCCAUUAAAGCGGCACGCGAGCUGGGUUCAGAACGUCGUGAGACAGUUCAGUCCCUAUCCGUCGCGGGCGUUGGAAAUUUGAGAGGAGCUGUCCUUAGUACGAGAGGACCGGGAUGGACUUACCGCUGGUGUACCAGUUGUUCUGCCAAGGGCAUUGCUGGGUAGCUAUGUAGGGAAGGGAUAAACGCUGAAAGCAUCUAAGUGUGAAGCCCACCUCAAGAUGAGAUUUCCCAUUUCUUUAAGAAAGUAAGAUCCCUGAGAGAUGAUCAGGUAGAUAGGUCAGGAGUGGAAGUACAGUGAUGUAUGGAGCGGACUGAUACUAAUCGAUCGAGGACUUAACC